GGACUACUGGGGUAUCUAAUCCCGUUUGCUCCCCACGCUUUCGCGCCUCAGCGUCAGGAGAUGCCCAGAGACCCGCCUUCGCCACCGGUGUUCCUCCCGAUCUCUACACAUUUCACCGCUACACCGGGAAUUCCAAUCUCCUCUGCAUCCCUCAAGAACGGCAGUAUCGGCCGACGUUCUUCGGUUGAGCCGAAGGAUUUCACGACCGACUUGCCAUCCCGCCUACGCGCCCUUUACGCCCAGUGAUUCCGAGCAACGCUUGCCCCCUCUGUCUUACCGCGGCUGCUGGCAC
Molecule: ribosomal RNA, 292 nt
Filed under: uncultured bacterium
Lineage: Bacteria
Description: partial 16S ribosomal RNA
Source: RNAcentral